This 301-nucleotide ribosomal RNA is filed under the name uncultured bacterium. RNAcentral's name for it is "partial 16S ribosomal RNA". It matches the Rfam family "Bacterial small subunit ribosomal RNA", at positions 509 to 809 of the family's 1533-position model. The record is from RNAcentral.
CAGCAGCCACGGGAAUACGUAGGUGGCAAGCGUUGUCCGGAAUUAUUGGGCGUAAAGCGCGCGCAGGCGGAUAGGUCAGUCUGUCUUAAAAGUUCGGGGCUUAACCCCGUGAUGGGAUGGAAACUGCCAAUCUAGAGUAUCGGAGAGGAAAGUGGAAUUCCUAGUGUAGCGGUGAAAUGCGUAGAUAUUAGGAAGAACACCAGUGGCGAAGGCGACUUUCUGGACGAAAACUGACGCUGAGGCGCGAAAGCCAGGGGAGCGAACGGGAUUAGAUACCCCUGUAGUCCCUGUCUCUUAUACA